UGGAGGGUUCAUUCACAAGGAUGAUCAACACUCAACUGCAAUUAUUGAAGACAGUGAUGAAGACGAACCUUGUGCCAACUUUGUGACGUAUAGACAGAAUUGCAACAAUUGGGUUGUUGUUGAUGUACCUAUUGUUAUACACCGUUCAAAGUAAUUUGUUUUAUUGUUAAAGAAAAAUCCUUCCCCUAUGCCUAAGGGAGACGUGAAACAUUGU
This 214-nucleotide long non-coding RNA is filed under the name Lathyrus oleraceus (garden pea). Its description in RNAcentral is "Pisum sativum (pea) long non-coding RNA (PSAT_LNC016937)". Lineage: Eukaryota; Viridiplantae; Streptophyta; Magnoliopsida; Fabales; Fabaceae. The record is from RNAcentral.